RNAcentral lists this long non-coding RNA (1034 nucleotides) under Anas platyrhynchos platyrhynchos (common mallard). Its description in RNAcentral is "lncRNA (ENSAPLG00000026702.1)". The record is from RNAcentral. Lineage: Eukaryota; Metazoa; Chordata; Aves; Anseriformes; Anatidae.
AUGGAGACCUCAUCAUGGCUCCGCUUCCCAAACCCAUUGCUCCCAAUGCCACAGGGUGUGCCAGCACAGCCCAGCUCACCACAGCCACCUGCAGGCAAGUGCCAUCAGCCCUGCUGGAGCUCACUGCCCUACUAUCUGACACGCCAGGCAGUGUUCGGCCAGGCAAACACUUGCCAUAGAGAAUUUAUCCUGUCAGGUUAUUGCAUAUGUAGUUUCUGUCACUAUAUCACGACCUUUCUCACACACAGGAUAGGAGCCAGGGGAAAGAAUGUGUUGGGUUCAGACUUCUUGGAUGGACCACACAGCAGAAACUCAGGUUAGCAAGCAUGGAGCCAGCUGAGAACAGAGUACAAUAUUAAAAGGAACAAAAGAGGAGAGGGGAACUCUCACUGGUACCUACAAAUAUAUUUCCCAAAGCACACCAUGAAAGAAAUGAUUGAGACAGAAAGAAAGAAAGAAGAGGAUGAAGAAAGAUGAGAAUAUGCCACAGGUGGGAAGAGCAUGAAAACAAUAACCCAUCAUUGUGCCAAAAAUCUCAAUUAAUAGGUGACAGGUAUGUAAUUCUGUUUUAAAGGCAAAACUGUAUCAUAAAAGAGAUGUUGGCAGGUUUAGAAAACAAAUGCCAAAUGUGUUCAGUCUUGCCUUUGAGCAGUGUUUCUUUUCAGUUGUCUUUAGUUUUUGUAAAUUUUAUUUAGUUUCCUGCAGUUCCCUUGCCAGCUCUGUCAGCUCUGGCCAUAGAUCUGAGGGAUGUUGGCCCAUCGCUCCUCUAACGGCUGCUUGACUUCUCCGCUUUGCUCAGGGCAGGUUACUUGUUCCCCAGCAAGACAGGCCCCUGCCUGCUUUAAUUGCUUCACAGCCACUCUGGCACCAGCUAAGGUCACUCUGAAUGACUGCAGCGAAGAAACAGCAGUAACUCCAGCCAGUGCUAUUGUGACAGCUUUUAAAAUGCAAAGGGAGCAGAGACCCAAGAUGUAGCACUGCAGACACCUUUCAACUUUCAAAUAAACUUAGAGAAAAUGCAAGUGUAAAACUCA